ACGGGUGAGUAACACGUGAGCAACCUGCCCCAGACUCUGGAAUAACCAUGGGAAACGAUGGCUAAUACCGGAUACGAGACACACACGCAUGUGUGGUGUCUGGAAAGAUUUAUCGGUCUGGGAUGGGCUCGCGGCCUAUCAGCUUGUUGGUGGGGUAGUGGCCCACCAAGGCGACGACGGGUAGCCGGCCUGAGAGGGCGACCGGCCACACUGGGACUGAGAUACGGCCCAGACUCCUACGGGAGGCAGCAGUGGGGAAUAUUGCACAAUGGGCGCAAGCCUGAUGCAGCGACGCCGCGUGAGGGAUGACGGCCUUCGGGUUGUAAACCUCUUUCAGCAGGGAAGAAGCGCAAGUGACGGUACCUGCAGAAGAAGCGCCGGCUAACUACGUGCCAGCAGCCGCGGUAAUACGUAGGGCGCAAGCGUUGUCCGGAAUUAUUGGGCGUAAAGAGCUCGUAGGCGGUUUGUCGCGUCUGCUGUGAAAACCUAAGGCUCAACCUUGGGCUUGCAGUGGGUACGGGCAGACUAGAGUGCGGUAGGGGUGACUGGAAUUCCUGGUGUAGCGGUGGAAUGCGCAGA
This 579-nucleotide ribosomal RNA is filed under the name Cellulomonas sp. StTD490. Its description in RNAcentral is "bacterial SSU rRNA". It matches the Rfam family "Bacterial small subunit ribosomal RNA", at positions 102 to 694 of the family's 1533-position model. The record is from RNAcentral. Lineage: Bacteria; Bacillati; Actinomycetota; Actinomycetes; Micrococcales; Cellulomonadaceae.